This 578-nucleotide ribosomal RNA is filed under the name uncultured bacterium. RNAcentral's name for it is "bacterial SSU rRNA". It matches the Rfam family "Bacterial small subunit ribosomal RNA", at positions 102 to 694 of the family's 1533-position model. The record is from RNAcentral.
ACGGGUGAGUAACACGUGGGUAACCUGCCCUGUACUCUGGGAUAAGCCUUGGAAACGAGGUCUAAUACCGGAUACGACCUUCGAUCGCAUGAUUGAGGGUGGAAAGUUCCGGCGGUAUGGGAUGGACCCGCGGCCUAUCAGCUUGUUGGUGGGGUAAUGGCCUACCAAGGCGACGACGGGUAGCCGGCCUGAGAGGGUGACCGGCCACACUGGGACUGAGACACGGCCCAGACUCCUACGGGAGGCAGCAGUGGGGAAUAUUGCACAAUGGGCGAAAGCCUGAUGCAGCGACGCCGCGUGAGGGAUGACGGCCUUCGGGUUGUAAACCUCUUUCAGCAGGGACGAAGCGCAAGUGACGGUACCUGCAGAAGAAGCACCGGCUAACUACGUGCCAGCAGCCGCGGUAAUACGUAGGGUGCGAGCGUUGUCCGGAAUUAUUGGGCGUAAAGAGCUCGUAGGCGGUUUGUCGCGUCGGCCGUGAAAACUUGGGGCUUAACUCCAAGCUUGCGGUCGAUACGGGCAGACUUGAGUUCGGCAGGGGAGACUGGAAUUCCUGGUGUAGCGGUGAAAUGCGCAGA